GCCGGAGUGGCGGAACGGCAGACGCGUCGGACUCAAAAUCCGAUGGAGGCAACUCCGUGGGGGUUCAAGUCCCUUCUCCGGCACCA
RNAcentral lists this transfer RNA (86 nucleotides) under Deltaproteobacteria bacterium GWA2_57_13. Its description in RNAcentral is "tRNA-Leu". It matches the Rfam family "tRNA". Rfam says of the family: Transfer RNA (tRNA) molecules are approximately 80 nucleotides in length. Their secondary structure includes four short double-helical elements and three loops (D, anti-codon, and T loops). RNAcentral also lists the same sequence under 4 other names. The record is from RNAcentral. Lineage: Bacteria; Deltaproteobacteria.